This is a long non-coding RNA of Trichomycterus rosablanca, 631 nucleotides long. RefSeq lists it as uncharacterized. Lineage: Eukaryota; Metazoa; Chordata; Actinopteri; Siluriformes; Trichomycteridae. The transcript is spliced from 2 exons. The record is from RefSeq and is a predicted model, not a curated record.
CACCGCUUCUGUAAACACUUCACGUGGAGAAGACGUGAGCGUCGCCAUGUUUCACACUGACACGCAGACCAAACCAAUCGAUCACACAUUAUAUUCCGCUCAGGAGGACCAAUCGAUGUCAGAUAUCACACGAGUCUAAAACGCCACACUGAACGAGGUGGUGAGGUAUAAACUAUAGAUAUUCACUCGGCGUGUAUUUCAUUAAAUACACCUUUGUGGAUUUUAACGUCAUGUUUUACACUUUGGUGACCUUCAUGACAGGAACGGUAGUUACUCAUAACAGGUUAUAUCGAACACAGUCAUGGACUGUGUCUCCAGUUCACCUCACUUGCAUGUCUUUGGACUGUGGGAGGAAACCGGAGCACCCAGAGGAAACCCACACAGACACGGGGAGAACAUGCAAACUCCACACAGAAAGGACCCGGACCGCCCCAGGACCCUGGACCUUCUUGCUGUGAGUGACAGUGAUACCCACUUAGCCACCGUGCGGCCCCAGUUAUUAAGUGUAGCACAUUAGUUGCUCUGUAAAUGUUCAUUCAUUGUAAGAGUUCAGAAUUUCAGCUUUUAUAACCUGGUAUUUACAUCUGGAUGUUUUAAAUAAAAAGAACAUAGCACAUUUUAUAUCAAACCA